This 433-nucleotide ribosomal RNA is filed under the name uncultured bacterium. RNAcentral describes it as "partial 16S ribosomal RNA". It matches the Rfam family "Bacterial small subunit ribosomal RNA", at positions 29 to 507 of the family's 1533-position model. The record is from RNAcentral.
AACGAACGCUGGCGGCAUGCCUAACACGUGCAAGUCGAACGAGACCUUCGGGUCUAGUGGCGCACGGGUGCGUAACGCGUGGGAACCUGCCCUUAGGUUCGGAAUAACUCCCCGAAAGGGGUGCUAAUACCGGAUAAUGUCUUCGGACCAAAGAUUUAUCGCCUUUGGAUGGGCCCGCGUUGGAUUAGCUAGUUGGUAGGGUAAAAGCCUACCAAGGCGACGAUCCAUAGCUGGUCUGAGAGGAUGAUCAGCCACACUGGGACUGAGACACGGCCCAGACUCCUACGGGAGGCAGCAGUGGGGAAUAUUGGACAAUGGGCGAAAGCCUGAUCCAGCAAUGCCGCGUGAGUGAUGAGGGCCUUAGGGUUGUAAAGCUCUUUUACCCGGGAUGAUAAUGACAGUACCGGGAGAAUAAGCUCCGGCUAACUCCGUG